RNAcentral lists this ribosomal RNA (123 nucleotides) under Propithecus coquereli (Coquerel's sifaka). Lineage: Eukaryota; Metazoa; Chordata; Mammalia; Primates; Indriidae. The record is from RNAcentral.
AACAAUAGCCAUACCACCCUGAAUGUGCCUGAUUUCAUCUGAUAUCGGAAGCUAAGCAGGAUUGGGCCUGGUUAGUUUGGAUGGGAGAAAGGCAGCAAAUAACAUAUCAAGUGGCUCCAGUAU